GUUCUCCAUUCGCGCAGAUACGGUUCCGUAACGAUAACAUUUCACGAGUUAAACGAUACAGUAUAUAACACAACAUCAACAUACAGUAUUGUAUUCCCAUCGUGUACGACGGUUUAUGCUGGUCGUUGAAAUGUUCAAUACGGCCAGUGCUAAAUCCAAACGCUUGCGAGUCUUUAUGGCGAAAUUAAUGGAGUUUUUUUUUUUUUGUAUUUUUAUCGAUAACCGUUUUAAGUUCGAAUUUUAUUGAAAAUCGUACGAAACGCGGCAUUUCGUGUACCGUUUUACCGUUUCGGUAAUAAUGUUCGAAAAUUUGACACUAAGUUUACAAUAACAGUUCCACGGCUUAGUGCAAGAAAGGCCAAUGUUACAUUUUGUGAUUGCUGGGAAACGCGCUUCGACAUUUAAAUUCCCCGCGAGGCCUUGUAUAUUUUAUUAAAUGUAAAUGUUCGUGUGAUUUUCAAUUUUUACGAAAACGUAAACAAUUUUCAUUUAGAAACUAAAAAUAUUGUACACUUUUUUUUUUUUGGACUGAUUUUUUCAAAAAAAAUUAUUAUUAUUAUUAAAAAUUAACAUUGGUCCUUUUUGCACCAAGCUAUAGAGUUGUACUUAUUGAUAAACAGAGCUGAUACUGUUGACGGCUGUUGUAGGUGGAAAGUUGGGAAAUAAAUAAGUAUAGAUAUUAGAUAUCCUCACUGAUUUAUAUCUGUACGUGAUAAAAAGCAAUAUUCCAUUAGUCAUGUUUUUAAAUGCCGUGAUUUUUACGAUUUUCGUCAAAAUUUAAACUUGGAACGCUUAUAAAAAAAAAAAAAACAACAUUACCUAUGUUCAUCCGUUAUUUUUUACCAUCAAGUACAACUUGUGUUGAGCUUUGUUUUCAAUGACAAACUAAAUUCUUCUCCGCAACUUACACUUUAUUUGCUGGUGGACUAAAUUUCCAUUGUAAUAGUGAUCCUACACGCCCGAAAUUGUU
Cinara cedri is the source of this 970-nucleotide non-coding RNA. The record is from the annotation of a GenBank genome assembly. Lineage: Eukaryota; Metazoa; Arthropoda; Insecta; Hemiptera; Aphididae.